This 481-nucleotide ribosomal RNA is filed under the name uncultured bacterium. RNAcentral describes it as "partial 16S ribosomal RNA". It matches the Rfam family "Bacterial small subunit ribosomal RNA", at positions 28 to 507 of the family's 1533-position model. The record is from RNAcentral.
GAUGAACGCUGGCGGCGUGCUUAACACAUGCAAGUCGAACGAAGCAUUUGCGACAGAUUUUUUCGGAAUGAAGUUGCUUAUGACUGAGUGGCGGACGGGUGAGUAUCGCGUGGGUAACCUGCCUUGUACUGGGGGAUAGCAGCUGGAAACGGCUGGUAAUACCGCAUAAGCGCACAAUGUUGCAUGACAUGGUGUGAAAAACUCCGGUGGUAUAAGACGGACCCGCGUCUGAUUAGCUAGUUGGUGAGAUAACAGCCCACCAAGGCGACGAUCAGUAGCCGACCUGAGAGGGUGACCGGCCACAUUGGGACUGAGACACGGCCCAGACUCCUACGGGAGGCAGCAGUGGGGAAUAUUGCACAAUGGAGGAAACUCUGAUGCAGCGACGCCGCGUGAGUGAAGAAGUAAUUCGUUAUGUAAAGCUCUAUCAGCAGGGAAGAUAGUGACGGUACCUGACUAAGAAGCUCCGGCUAAAUACGUG